UACGAAGGGGGCUAGCGUUGCUCGGAAUCACUGGGCGUAAAGCGCACGUAGGCGGAUUGUUAAGUCGGGGGUGAAAUCCUGGAGCUCAACUCCAGAACUGCCUUCGAUACUGACGAUCUCGAGUCCGGGAGAGGUGAGUGGAACUCCGAGUGUAGAGGUGAAAUUCGUAGAUAUUCGGAAGAACACCAGUGGCGAAGGCGGCUCACUGGCCCGGUACUGACGCUGAGGUGCGAAAGCGUAGGUAGCGAAUGGG
RNAcentral lists this ribosomal RNA (253 nucleotides) under uncultured bacterium. RNAcentral describes it as "partial 16S ribosomal RNA". It matches the Rfam family "Bacterial small subunit ribosomal RNA", at positions 524 to 776 of the family's 1533-position model. The record is from RNAcentral.